RNAcentral lists this ribosomal RNA (399 nucleotides) under uncultured Lactobacillus sp. RNAcentral's name for it is "bacterial SSU rRNA". It matches the Rfam family "Bacterial small subunit ribosomal RNA", at positions 149 to 526 of the family's 1533-position model. The record is from RNAcentral. Lineage: Bacteria; Bacillati; Bacillota; Bacilli; Lactobacillales; Lactobacillaceae.
CCUGGAAAACAGAUGCUAAUACCGGAUAACAACAGAUGAUGCCUAUCAACUGUUUAAAAAAGUAUGGUUCUGCUAUCACUCUUGGAUGGACCUGCGGUGCAUUAGCUAGUUGGUAAGGGUAACGGCCUACCAAGGCGAUGAUGCAUAGCCGAGUUGAGAGACUGAUCGGCCACAUUGGGACUGAGACACGGCCCAAACUCCUACGGGAGGCAGCAGUAGGGAAUCUUCCACAAUGGACGCAAGUCUGAUGGAGCAACGCCGCGUGAGUGAAGUAAGGGUUUCGGCUACGUAAAGCUCUGUUGUUGGUGAAGAAGGACAGGGGUAGUAACUGACCUUUGUUUGACGGUAAUCAAUUAGAAAGUCACGGGCUAACUACGUGCCCAGCAGCCGCGGUAAAAU